RNAcentral lists this ribosomal RNA (480 nucleotides) under Streptococcus salivarius. Its description in RNAcentral is "bacterial SSU rRNA". It matches the Rfam family "Bacterial small subunit ribosomal RNA", at positions 28 to 491 of the family's 1533-position model. Lineage: Bacteria; Bacillati; Bacillota; Bacilli; Lactobacillales; Streptococcaceae. The record is from RNAcentral.
GACGAACGCUGGCAGCGUGCCUAAUACAUGCAAGUAGAACGCUGAAGGGAGGAGCUUGCUCUUCUUGGAUGAGUUGCGAACGGGUGAGUAACGCGUAGGUAACCUGCCUUGUAGCGGGGGAUAACUAUUGGAAACGAUAGCUAAUCCGCAUAACAAUGGAUGACCCAUGUCAUUUAUUUGAAAGGGGCAAAUGCUCCACUACAAGAUGGACCUGCGUUGUAUUAGCUAGUAGGUGAGGUAACGGCUCACCUAGGCGACGAUACAUAGCCGACCUGAGAGGGUGAUCGGCCACACUGGGACUGAGACACGGCCCAGACUCCUACGGGAGGCAGCAGUAGGGAAUCUUCGGCAAUGGGGGCAACCCUGACCGAGCAACGCCGCGUGAGUGAAGAAGGUUUUCGGAUCGUAAAGCUCUGUUGUAAGUCAAGAACGAGUGUGAGAGUGGAAAGUUCACACAGUGACGGUAGCUUACCAGAAAGG